This 229-nucleotide ribosomal RNA is filed under the name uncultured bacterium. RNAcentral's name for it is "partial 16S ribosomal RNA". It matches the Rfam family "Bacterial small subunit ribosomal RNA", at positions 568 to 796 of the family's 1533-position model. The record is from RNAcentral.
CGUGUAGGCGGUCUGUUAAGUCUGGUGUGAAAGCCCUGGGCUCAACCCAGGAAGUGCAUUGGAUACUGGCAGACUUGAGUAUGGAAGAGGAAAGCGGAAUUCCGAGUGUAGGAGUGAAAUCCGUAGAUAUUCGGAGGAACACCAGUGGCGAAGGCGGCUUUCUGGACCAAUACUGACGCUGAGACGCGAAAGCGUGGGGAGCAAACAGGAUUAGAUACCCUGGUAGUCC